This is a long non-coding RNA of Amblyraja radiata (thorny skate), 306 nucleotides long. RefSeq lists it as uncharacterized. Lineage: Eukaryota; Metazoa; Chordata; Chondrichthyes; Rajiformes; Rajidae. The record is from RefSeq and is a predicted model, not a curated record. The transcript has 3 exons.
GCCCCGCCGGCAAAACAAACCCUGACAUGGGAGAAGAUAACGCGACCGUUCUCCUCAGCAUCAACGGCCGGCUAUUCGCAUCGCGGAUUCGGCGAUGGGGUCACUACAAGAAUUGAUGAAUGCGAUUAAUCUCUUGACUAGCAACCAUGACAAUAUGAAGAAGGACCUUGAGAAAUUUUAGAGAUGCAGCGCGGAAACGGGCCCUUCGGCUGACAGAGCCCGCGCCGACCGACAAUCACUGUACAUUAUCUCCACCCUACACACACGAGGGACAAUUCUUUAUUCAUACACCAAGCCAAUUAACCU